This 863-nucleotide long non-coding RNA is filed under the name Equus caballus (horse). RNAcentral's name for it is "lncRNA (ENSECAG00000058332.1)". Lineage: Eukaryota; Metazoa; Chordata; Mammalia; Perissodactyla; Equidae. The record is from RNAcentral.
CAAGAUGGUGACAGCAGAGCAGGAGACAAAGCAGGGGCCCUUCUGAGCGCAGGACCCAGCAUGGCAACAGAGGCUGCGUGGCUAUGAAGCUGGUCCAGCCUCCCAGGCCGUUCUCUGCUGAGCCCUGACAACGUUCAGGACUGGAUCAUCCUCUGCUGUGGGGGUCGUCCAGUGCAUCCCUGGGCUUCUCCCAACUAGAAACCCCUGACUUGUGACAAUGUGUCUCCAGACACUGCCGAAUGUCCCCUGGGGGCCUGGUCACCCCUAUCUGAGGACAGCAGCCCUUGAAAACAUCCUCUUGAAACAUGAAGUAUGCGAUGUCCCUCCUCUGCUCGGAACCCUCCAAAGGCUUCUCUCAGUAGCAUCCAGAGCCCUGUGUCUCUGACUUCAUCUCCCACCCUCGUUCUGUUCCCUUCCAGCCACCAUUGCCCUCCUGCUGCUUCUCAAACCCACCAGGCAUCCCCUUCCUCGGAUCUUUUCCUAAUUCCCUCUGGAAUGUCCUUCUCAGAUGUCCCCAUGCCCACGGCUCAUGGCUCCUCUCCGGCCCUCUGCUCUGUCGUCACCUCGGCAGAAAGACUUUCUUGAAUGUUCCAUCUCAACUAGCUCCCCUUUUCUUUCUUCCGGGGUGUGAAACCCCUGAAAGCAGAGGCUCUUCUUUCCCCGGCACGUAGUAGGUGCUCAGCGCCUGACUGAUGGAGAAACCACACUCCUGGCCGCCCUCCUGGUCCCCCAAGCUUUAGGCAUUUUCUGAGAAUGGCCUUGUGGGGAUGUUCGUAAAGCACUUAGCACGGUGCUGGUACCCAUCCCAGGGCUCAGGGGAUGGACCUGCAUCCUCGUUGCCUGUCAGCUCUCAGCUCCGUCUU